AUGAAGAAAGAAGAGAGUUCAUCGAUUACUUCUGUGAUGGAUCUGGUUGUUGAGUGUGGUGCAAUAGUAGGCAGUGAUGAAUAUUUCAUUGCUAGUGAACUAUUUGUGAAGCGAGAGCAGAGAGAGAUGUUCCUGCAUAUGACUGAAAGUGCUGCUCGUUUAGAUUGGUUGCGUAGGAAAUACAACAGCAAGUAUGGGCAUUAG
Molecule: ribosomal RNA, 204 nt
Filed under: Triticum aestivum (bread wheat)
Lineage: Eukaryota; Viridiplantae; Streptophyta; Magnoliopsida; Poales; Poaceae
Description: partial small subunit ribosomal RNA
Source: RNAcentral